This is a non-coding RNA of Dermacentor andersoni, 237 nucleotides long. The record is from RefSeq and is a predicted model, not a curated record. NCBI's taxonomy places the organism in Eukaryota, Metazoa, Arthropoda, Arachnida, Ixodida, Ixodidae.
CUAACAUUAUGGUGUUAACAUAUUUCAGGUUCCUAUAACAAUGGUAGUAAUAGAACACUUGAGUCUUACUGGGAUGGAAACUGCCCGAAUGGCACUGUGGAGUGUACUACAGAAGACCCAAAGCACAGUGUUUGUGUCUGCACGUGGUGAAAUUAGGAGAGUUUGGAUGUUCACAACGUCAUGCAUUUUAAGUGCUGAUGGAAGUAGAUGGAGAGAAAAUAAAGGAUUGUCAAAAUG